This 253-nucleotide ribosomal RNA is filed under the name uncultured bacterium. RNAcentral's name for it is "partial 16S ribosomal RNA". It matches the Rfam family "Bacterial small subunit ribosomal RNA", at positions 524 to 776 of the family's 1533-position model. The record is from RNAcentral.
UACGUAGGCAGCAAGCGUUGUUCGGAAUUACUGGGCGUAAAGAGUGUGUAGGCGGUGCUCUAGGUUCGGUGUGAAAUCUCCCGGCUUAACUGGGAGGGUGUGCCGGAAACUGGAGUGCUUGAGCGCGGGAGAGGAAAGCGGAAUUCCUGGUGUAGCGGUGAAAUGCGUAGAUAUCAGGAGGAACACCUGUGGUGUAGACGGCUUUCUGGACCGUAGCUGACGCUGAGACACGAAAGCGUGGGUAGCAAACAGG